GAUGAAGAACGUAGCGAAAUGCGAUACUUGGUGUGAAUUGCAGAAUCCCGUGAACCAUCGAGUCUUUGAACGCAAGUUGCGCCCGAAGCCAUUAGGCCGAGGGCACGCCUGCCUGGGCGUCACACGUCGUUGCCCCCCCAUCUACUCCUUCGGGAUUGCGGGGGGCGGAUGAUGGCCUCCCGUGCGCCUCGUCGCGCGGUUGGCAUAAAUGCCAAGUCCUCGGCGACGCACGCCACGACAAUCGGUGGUUGCGAAACCUCGGUUGCCCGUCGUGUGCGGUCGUCGCGCAUCGAGGGCUCGAAAAAAUUGCCGGGCUCCGGCUCGGCUUUCAACGCGACCCCAGGUCAGGCGGGGUUAACCGCUGAAUUUAAGCAUAUCAAUAAGCGGAGGA
Molecule: unclassified non-coding RNA, 391 nt
Filed under: soil metagenome
Description: partial contains 5.8S ribosomal RNA, internal transcribed spacer 2, and large subunit ribosomal RNA
Rfam family: 5.8S ribosomal RNA (bases 1-122)
Source: RNAcentral